UACAGGGGGUGCAAACGUUGCUCGGAAUCAUUGGGCGUAAAGCGCACGUAGGCGGUCUGUUAUGUCGGAUGUGAAAGCCCUUGGCUCAACUGAGGAAGUGCAUCCGAAACUGGCAGGCUAGAGUACUAAAGAGGGUCGCGGAAUUCCCGGUGUAGAGGUGAAAUUCGUAGAUAUCGGGAGGAACACCGGUGGCGAAGGCGGCGACCUGGGUAGAUACUGACGCUGAGGUGCGAAAGCGUGGGGAGCAAACAGGG
RNAcentral lists this ribosomal RNA (254 nucleotides) under uncultured bacterium. Its description in RNAcentral is "partial 16S ribosomal RNA". It matches the Rfam family "Bacterial small subunit ribosomal RNA", at positions 524 to 777 of the family's 1533-position model. The record is from RNAcentral.